This 670-nucleotide ribosomal RNA is filed under the name uncultured cyanobacterium. RNAcentral describes it as "partial 16S ribosomal RNA". The record is from RNAcentral. Lineage: Bacteria; Bacillati; Cyanobacteriota.
CCACCUGUGUUCGUGCUCCCGAAGGCACUCCUCCCUUUCAAGAGGAUUCACGACAUGUCAAGCCUUGGUAAGGUUCUUCGCGUUGCAUCGAAUUAAACCACAUACUCCACCGCUUGUGCGGGCCCCCGUCAAUUCCUUUGAGUUUCAAUCUUGCGACCGUACUCCCCAGGCGGGGUACUUAACGCGUUAGCUACGGCACUGAUCGGGUCGAUACGACCAACACCUAGUACCCAUCGUUUACGGCUAGGGCUACUGGGGUAUCUAAUCCCAUUCGCUCCCCUAGCUUUCGUACUUCAGCGUCAGUUGAGAUCCAGCAGGACGCUUUCGCCACUGGUGUUCUUCCAGAUAUCUACGCAUUUCACCGCUACACCUGGAAUUCCUCCUGCCCCUAUCUCUCUCUAGUCUCACAGUUUCCAUUGCCGAUCCAAGGUUGAGCCUCGGGCUUUGACAACAGACUUAUGAAACAGCCUACGUACGCUUUACGCCCAAUAAUUCCGGAUAACGCUUGCAUCCUCCGUCUUACCGCGGCUGCUGGCACGGAGUUAGCCGAUGCUUAUUCGUUAGGUACCGUCAUUAUCUUCCCUAACAAAAGAGGUUUACAGCCCACAGGCCUUCGUCCCUCACGCGGUAUUGCUCCGUCAGGCUUUCGCCCAUUGCGGAAAAUUCCCCA